GGCCUCGUAGCUCAGGUGAACAGAGCGUUGGUUGUACUAAAGCCUUUACCCUGCUAACGUGGGUUCGAAUCUCACCGAGGCCG
RNAcentral lists this transfer RNA (83 nucleotides) under Schistocephalus solidus. It matches the Rfam family "tRNA". Rfam says of the family: Transfer RNA (tRNA) molecules are approximately 80 nucleotides in length. Their secondary structure includes four short double-helical elements and three loops (D, anti-codon, and T loops). Further hydrogen bonds mediate the characteristic L-shaped molecular structure. tRNAs have two regions of fundamental functional importance: the anti-codon, which is responsible for specific mRNA codon recognition, and the 3' end, to which the tRNAs corresponding amino acid is attached (by aminoacyl-tRNA synthetases). tRNAs cope with the degeneracy of the genetic code in two manners: having more than one tRNA (with a specific anti-codon) for a particular amino acid; and 'wobble' base-pairing, i.e. permitting non-standard base-pairing at the 3rd anti-codon position. Lineage: Eukaryota; Metazoa; Platyhelminthes; Cestoda; Diphyllobothriidea; Diphyllobothriidae. The record is from Rfam by way of RNAcentral.